RNAcentral lists this ribosomal RNA (253 nucleotides) under uncultured bacterium. RNAcentral's name for it is "partial 16S ribosomal RNA". It matches the Rfam family "Bacterial small subunit ribosomal RNA", at positions 524 to 776 of the family's 1533-position model. The record is from RNAcentral.
UACAGAGGUCCCAAGCGUUGUUCGGAUUCACUGGGCGUAAAGGGUGCGUAGGUGGCCAGGUAAGUUUGAUGUGAAAGCUCGGAGCUUAACUCCGAAAUGGCAUUGAAUACUAUCUGGCUUGAGGGUCGGAGGGGAGGCUGGAAUUCUCGGUGUAGCAGUGAAAUGCGUAGAUAUCGAGAGGAACACCAGUGGCGAAGGCGAGUCUCUGGACGACACCUGACACUGAGGCACGAAAGCUAGGGGAGCAAACAGG